This 450-nucleotide ribosomal RNA is filed under the name uncultured bacterium. RNAcentral describes it as "bacterial SSU rRNA". It matches the Rfam family "Bacterial small subunit ribosomal RNA", at positions 328 to 793 of the family's 1533-position model. The record is from RNAcentral.
UGGCCAGACUCCUACGGGAGGCAGCAGUGGGGGAUAUUGCACAAUGGGGGCAACCCUGAUGCAGCGACGCCGCGUGAGCGAUGGAGUACUUCGGUAUGUAAAGCUCUGUCAGCAGGGAAGAGAAUGACGGUACCUGACCAAGAAGCCCCGGCUAAAUACGUGCCAGCAGCCGCGGUAAUACGUAUGGGGCAAGCGUUAUCCGGAUUUACUGGGUGUAAAGGGAGCGUAGGCGGCAGGGCAAGCCUGAUGUGAAAGCCCGGGGCCCAACCCCGGGACUGCUCUGGAAACUGCGUCGCUGGAGUACGGGAGGGGCAGGCGGAAUCCCUGGUGUAGCGGUGAAAUGCGUAGAUAUCAGGAGGAACACCGGCGGCGAAGGCGGCCUGCUGGACCGUGACUGACGUUGAGGCUCGAGAGCGUGGGGAGCAAACAGGAUUAGAUACCCCUGUAUAG